GACGAACGCUGGCGGCGUGCUUAACACAUGCAAGUCGAACGAAGAGCGACGGAAGCUUGCUUCUAUCAAUCUUAGUGGCGAACGGGUGAGUAACGCGUAAUCAACCUGCCCUUCAGAGGGGGACAACAGUUGGAAACGACUGCUAAUACCGCAUACGAUCUAAUCUCGGCAUCGAGGAUGGAUGAAAGGUGGCCUCUACAUGUAAGCUAUCACUGAAGGAGGGGAUUGCGUCUGAUUAGCUAGUUGGGGGGGUAACGGCCCACCAAGGCGAUGAUCAGUAGCCGGUCUGAGAGGAUGAACGGCCACAUUGGGACUGAGACACGGCCCAGACUGCUACGGGAGGCAGCAGUGGGGAAUCUUCCGCAAUGGACGAAAGUCUGACGGAGCAACGCCGGGUGAGUGAUGACGGCCUUCGGGUUGUAAAGCUCUGUUAAUCGGGACGAAGGGCCUUCUUGCGAAUAGGGAGAAGGAUUGACGGUACCGGAAUAGAAAGCCACGGCUAACUACGUG
This 510-nucleotide ribosomal RNA is filed under the name uncultured bacterium. Its description in RNAcentral is "partial 16S ribosomal RNA". It matches the Rfam family "Bacterial small subunit ribosomal RNA", at positions 28 to 507 of the family's 1533-position model. The record is from RNAcentral.